Molecule: ribosomal RNA, 761 nt
Filed under: uncultured Prevotella sp.
Lineage: Bacteria; Pseudomonadati; Bacteroidota; Bacteroidia; Bacteroidales; Prevotellaceae
Description: bacterial SSU rRNA
Rfam family: Bacterial small subunit ribosomal RNA
Source: RNAcentral
GAUGAACGCUGGCUACAGGCUUAACACAUGCAAGUCGAGGGGAAACGGCAUUGAGUGCUUGCACUGAAUGGACGUCGACCGGCGCACGGGUGAGUAACGCGUAUCCAACCUUCCCGUUACUGCGGGAUAACCUGCCGAAAGGCAGACUAAUACCGCAUGUUCUUCGAUGACGGCAUCAGAUUCGAAGCAAAGACUCGUCGGUAACGGAGGGGGAUGCGUCUGAUUAGCUAGUUGGCGGGGCGACGGCCCACCAAGGCGACGAUCAGUAGGGGUUCUGAGAGGAAGGUCCCCCACAUUGGAACUGAGACACGGUCCAAACUCCUACGGGAGGCAGCAGUGAGGAAUAUUGGUCAAUGGGCGGAAGCCUGAACCAGCCAAGUAGCGUGCAGGAGGACGGCCCUAUGGGUUGUAAACUGCUUUUAUGCGGGGAUAAAGUGAGGGACGUGUCCCUUUUUGCAGGUACCGCAUGAAUAAGAACCGGCUAAUUCCGUGCCAGCAGCCGCGGUAAUACGGAAGGUCCGGGCGUUAUCCGGAUUUAUUGGGUUUAAAGGGAGCGUAGGCCGGGGAUUAAGUGUGUUGUGAAAUGUAGGCGCCCAACGUCUGACUUGCAGCGCAUACUGGUUCCCUUGAGUACGCGCAACGCCGGCGGAAUUCGUCGUGUAGCGGUGAAAUGCUUAGAUAUGACGAAGAACCCCGAUUGCGAAGGCAGCCGGCGGGAGCGCAACUGACGCUGAAGCUCGAAGGUGCGGGUAUCGAACAGG